GGGACGCAGAAACUUCUCUUCAUCAUCAAUGCAAGCAAGCCCAGGACCCAGCAGAGCACUUACUUUAGGAUAGGAGCCAUGUGAUCUGUUGAAGUGCUUUGUGAUCAGUCUUUUAUUUUUUAAGAAACUCUUCUUCUCCCGCAGGGUUCACAGAUAAUCUGGCAGGAAGUCGGCAAUAACCAGCAGACAAACAAAGAACUCAGACCUCAGAGGUUCAGGGUGAAAAUGUUUCCACACGUGUGUUUUGGUGGUGCGUGUGUGUGUGUGUGUGUGUGUGUGUGUGUGUGUGUGUGUGUGUGUGUGUGUGUGUGUGUGUGUGUGUGUGUGUGUGUGUGUGUGUGUGUGUGUGUGUACACAGUGAGGAUGGAUCACAGGUGUGUAUCAGUUUCAUUUACAGCCACGAAAACGCUGCAGUGAAACUCGGCUUCACGGCUGCAGAGACACAGACACUAAUCUCACACACUGUCUCUUUAUGUUCCAUCUGAAUCACAAAACACAGACUGUCCUUUAUUAAUAUUCCCACAAUCCUCAAACUCUCCUUUAACCAUUUAGAUGAAAACAACUUCCUGUCUGUUAAAGACUGAAAACCUGCAGCCACGAACGUUGAUCUGCAAUCAGCUCAACAUCAAUUAACAAGCAGCUGCCAUCAAUAAGAGCUGCAAUAUAAUAAUAAUAAUAAUAAUAAUAAUAAUAAUAAUAAUAAUAAUAAUAAUAAUAAUAAUAAUGUCCUUAGAAUAAAUCUAAAGUCAUAAAUAAUUUGUUUGCUUCAAAGACGAAUUUAUUAAAAUAAUGGAAAGUCCAAGUUUUAGAUUAUAGAUGAUAAUUAACCAAUUUGGUCAAUCAAAUUUAAAAAUAAUCAAUAAUAAUGUCUUUUCGCUGUGAUGAGGCAGGAGGUGGUCGCUCUGCCCGGACAGGAAGUGAAGGUUUAUUUUUUAUUCUGAUGGUUAAAAGAGACUCUGAUGAUUCCGGAAAUAGUUUUGGGGUUUUUUCAGGUCGUCAGCUGUUUGUUUGGUGUAAAUGUGACGCGUUAGAGGAGGUCGGAGAACUAAAUGGAUGAACUGUAACGUAAAGAAGUGAUCGCUGUCUUGAACCCGCCGAGGACAAGUGGAGACAGACGAGCGUGUCUGAGUCGUGGUGGUGGUGAAGCGACGUGUUGUCGCCGCUGAAGGGUCGGAGGUCUGAAGGCCGACAGGGGAGCCGUUGUACGAGCUUCCUGCAGGGUGGAUUACUGGCUUAGCUCUGUUAUGGAAAUGGUUUCUCAUGGAGAUUUGAUGUGGUCUCCAUGUUCCUUUGGCACAGCUUUGGAAUUUAUGACCAUAUUUUAACCAGUAAAAUACAGCUGAUGUGUCUCAACCACCCUGAAGAUUUUACAGACUGGGUGGUGGUUUUUCUUUCUUGUUGACAGUUUACCUCCCGUUCAAGAUAUUUUUUUUUUUUUUUUGCUCUUAAGAUGACGGUGUACUUUCUCAUGGACCCUCAGAAAUAAUUCACUCUGUUCUAAUUCAUGGCUCUUUUAUAGAGAUUUUUCUCUCAAGUACUUUCUGUUCAUUUUCCUCUGUUGAAAUUUGUAUUUAUAUGUUUAAUAAAACAAGGUAUGAUCUGCUACUUUCUGCAGCUUCCUCCUUUCAUCACA
Molecule: long non-coding RNA, 1633 nt
Organism: Thunnus maccoyii (southern bluefin tuna)
Lineage: Eukaryota; Metazoa; Chordata; Actinopteri; Scombriformes; Scombridae
Exons: 2
Source: RefSeq, a predicted model, not a curated record